RNAcentral lists this ribosomal RNA (468 nucleotides) under uncultured bacterium. Its description in RNAcentral is "partial 16S ribosomal RNA". It matches the Rfam family "Bacterial small subunit ribosomal RNA", at positions 28 to 507 of the family's 1533-position model. The record is from RNAcentral.
GACGAACGCUGGCGGCGUGCUUAACACAUGCAAGUCGAACGGAAAGGCCCUGCUUUUGUGGGGUGCUCGAGUGGCGAACGGGUGAGUAACACGUGAGUAACCUGCCCUUGACUUUGGGAUAACUUCAGGAAACUGGGGCUAAUACCGGAUAGGAGCUCCUGCUGCAUGUUGGGGGUUGGAAAGUUUCGGCGGUUGGGGAUUGACUCGCGGCUUAUCAGCUUGUUGGUGGGGUAGUGGCUUACCAAGGCUUUGACGGGUAGCCGGACUGAGAGGGUGACCGGCCACAUUGGGACUGAGAUACGGCACAGACUCCUACGGGAGGCAGCAGUGGGGAAUAUUGCACAAUGGGCGGAAGCCUGAUGCAGCAACGCCGCGUGCGGGAUGACGGCCUUCGGGUUGUAAACCGCUUUCGCCUGUGACGAAGCGUGAGUGACGGUAAUGGGUAAAGAAGCACCGGCUAACUACGUG